UUUUUCUUUUCUUUUUUGAAGUCAGGUCUCUUGCUCUGUAACCCAGGCCAGGGUGCAGCACCACCAUCCUGGCUCACGGCUCCCUUGACCUCCCAGGAUCAGGCAAUACUCACACCCCGGCCUCCUGAGUAGCUGGGGUGUCCUCCAGGAUGUCAUGUGCACAUCACCAGACCCGGUUAAGUUUUAAAACAGUUUUUACAGAGACAGGGUCUCACUAUGUUGCCCAGGCUCCUUCUAUUUUCUUUAAAAGUUCAGUGAUUUUACCUCUCAAUAUUUUAAUUAAAUUUAUAAUUUGGCAAUUUAUUUUAAAUUUCAAGAUCUACUUUUAAACCUUGGAUUGUUACUUCAUCUGAGUAUGCUAGUAUACUAAUUAGGUUUUCCUUUCUACAUUCUCUGAGGUUUCUGUUUAUCUCCCCCACACUCCAUGUUGGAGACUUCUCUUAAAAAUCUAGUAACGCUUAGUUGUCUGUUCAUACAUAAGAUGAGGCAGUUGGAAUGCUGAUGGGGAGUCUUGUGAACUUGGGAGGUGUCUUAGUCUAUUUUAUGUUGCUAUAAAGGCAUGCCUGCGGCUGGGUAAUUUAUAAAGAAAACGGGUUUAUUUAGCUCACAAUUCUGCAGGCUCUACAAGCAGCAAGGCACUAGCAUCUGCUCAGUUCUGGUGUCAUGCUGCAUCAAAACAUGGCGGAGAAGGUCAAGGAAAAGUGUCUGUGCACAUGCAAAGAGAAAUCAAACCCGAGGUGAGUCCUGGCUUUAAAACAAGCCACUCUCAAACGAGCAAAUCCAUUCUCCUGAUAACCAAUGUAGUGUCGCAAGUGGGAGAACUCACUAUUGUAAGAAUGACACCAAGUCCUUCAUGAAGAAUCUGCCCCCAUGACCCACACACCUCCCACCAGGACCCACGUCCCAAUACUAUCACACUGGUAAUCAAAUUUCAACAUAGAUGUGGUCGAGACAAAAAUACCACAUCCAAACCACAGCAGGAAGUUCCUGCCAACCUGCCCAACUUCACUUUACAGUGGGUGGGUAGGAAAUCAGCUAUUGUGCUAGGAUAAAGAAUGCUUUACUCUUAGGCCAUUCAAUACUCAGUUAGCCCAAAUCUCCCCAGAUUAUCAGAAUACUUAAUUUUAGCCUGGGAUAAAUGCCUAGAUAUUGUAUCUGAGACAGAGGGAGAGUUCUGUUCUUCCUCAUAUAGACCUUUAUUUAGUCUCCCUGUUCUCAAUCCUGCUUCUCACUCUCGCUCUGUCUUGUAGGUAUCUCCAAAUCUCGGUCUCCCUAAAGCAGUUCUGGGCUGACAGCCCCCCCUUCCUUUCUGCAGCACCCUCUACACCCAUUCCACAUUAUGGUUUUCUUCAUUUUAUUUUGUCAGACCACACUUACUUUUCACAUGUCGAAUUGAAAAACAAUUAUCUUCCGAUGCCCCCCUUCUCCUUUUCUAUUUUGUAUCAUUUUUAUUUAUCAUCAUUUUAUGGGGUCUCAGGAAGAAGAGGCAGUAAAUACAUGUGCUUGGGUAGCUAGCUUUAACAAAAAAUCCUAAAUGUAGGUUUUAAAAAAGAUCUCUGGAGCAGGGUAGGAAAAUAAUAUUUGUUGCCAGUGUGGUGGCAAAAAAUAAAAAAUAAAAAUCUGAAUCUGUGUUAGGACAGUAUUUCUGUGUAUAACAUAGCGCUCAGCAACUUAACUCUCCAGAUCCACGUAUUUUAAGGACACGAUGUAUCUCAGACACCGACUUCAAACCUCACUUUACAGUUAAGUAAGACCACAAGUAGAAUGAUUUGCCUGAGGCCACACAAGUAGACAGUUGGAGAAUGAGAACAGAAAGAUCUAUUGACUCUCAGUUCUAUUUUCUCUUACCUUACCACACUGCUAGGGAGUAACAAGAUGGGCAGAUCACGAGUCAGAUGAGAAAAGUCAAAGGAUGACUUUUCCUGGGUAAAUAGCCGGAUGUCCAAGAAAUGAAAUGCUGGUCUGGCAGCACAUCGUCUAACAGUUGGUAGUCGUAUGUGGGAAGUACUGAAUGGAGAGAUGACAGCAGGCCCAGGAACUGCAAUCAUCCAAGUGCAUGUCGAUCCUGGGAGGGAACAAUUAAGAGUCCGGGCAGGAUGAAAAACAGUAGAAACCGGUGAGUGAAUGCAUGUGAACGCAGAGAAGCGACUGGAAUUUGUUAGUGGGAUUAUGAGGCAGUGGUUAAUUACGGUGGCGGAGGUGAGUAGGAGUAAAAUGAUGGCUUUUAACUCCUUUUAAGGACACCGAGAAUUAUUUUAAUAAACACUGGAAGGCUGGGAAUAAAUAUAAUUCACACCAUUCUUACUUUCUUGAUUUAGAGAUAAGCUUAUCUACAUCCUUAAAUUAAUGGCCGUAGCUACCCUCUGCAUGGUUCCAGAAAAAAAAAAAACCAAAACCCAAACCGGCUGCGAGUCUGCACGAGAAAACCGGGUUGCUCCAGGCCCCAGCCGCCCGCCGACUCGCCUAGCUGUCGGAGGCCAAAUACACAGCUCCCGAAGCCGCGUCGGGCACCGCGCAGGGUCGGAACCGGGACACUAAUUUCCGCCCACGCUCCCCGCGUCCGGGCCGGAUCACCACAGAACACGACGUCCAUUGCUGGGGUCCUCGGCGAUGCCCGUGUGCGCAGCCCCGCGAGUCUCAGGUCAGAUGGCCGCUCAUUUCGCGGCCACGUUCCGCCAAGCUAAGGGGCAAAAAACCAGCUUUGGUGGAACAAAGCGUGCCCCCAGCAGCCACGGUCGGUCCCCGCGCUGGUCCCGCGGCGCUGGGCGGCCCCGGGCGCGGGUAACGGGCCACGGGAAGAAGG
Molecule: long non-coding RNA, 2803 nt
Organism: Macaca fascicularis (crab-eating macaque)
Lineage: Eukaryota; Metazoa; Chordata; Mammalia; Primates; Cercopithecidae
Source: Ensembl